RNAcentral lists this ribosomal RNA (463 nucleotides) under uncultured bacterium. RNAcentral's name for it is "partial 16S ribosomal RNA". It matches the Rfam family "Bacterial small subunit ribosomal RNA", at positions 28 to 507 of the family's 1533-position model. The record is from RNAcentral.
GACGAACGCUGGCGGCGUGCUUAACACAUGCAAGUCGAACGGAAAGGCCCUGCUUUUGUGGGGUGCUCGAGUGGCGAACGGGUGAGUAACACGUGAGUAACCUGCCCUUGACUUUGGGAUAACUUCAGGAAACUGGGGCUAAUACCGGAUAGGAGCUCCUGCUGCAUGGUGGGGGUUGGAAAGUUUCGGCGGUUGGGGAUGGACUCGCGGCUUAUCAGCUUGUUGGUGGGGUAGUGGCUUACCAAGGCUUUGACGGGUAGCCGGCCUGAGAGGGUGACCGGCCACAGUGGGACUGAGAUACGGCCCAGACUCCUACGGGAGGCAGCAGUGGGGAAUAUUGCACAAUGGGCGGAAGCCUGAUGCAGCAACGCCGCGUGAGUGAUGAAGGCCUUAGGGUUGUAAAGCUCUUUUACCCGGGAUGAUAAUGACAGUACCGGGAGAAUAAGCUCCGGCUAACUCCGUG